AUAUAAGUGAGUGUUUGAGGAGUGUAUGUCCAUCUCAUCAACACUGCAAGAACACAGAUGGAGGGUAUCAGUGUUUUGACAGCUGUCCAUCAGGAAUGACUCAGGCUCAGAGCUGUGUGUGUGGAUGUAGACGAGUGUAAAGACGGCAGUCACAUGUGUCGCUACAGCCAAAUCUGCCAAAACACACUCUGUGGAUAUGUGUGUGUGUGUCCAAGAGGCUACCGCUUUCAGGGUGUGGGCAAACCGUGUGUAGAUGUUGAUGAGUGUGCACAGUCUCCAAGUCCGUGUGGGUAUCAGUGCCGAAGUCCCCCGGGGACUGUCCUUUUGGUGGACGGCCGGUUGUGUGCUGGACUCGAGAGAGAAAAUGUGUUUAGUAAUCGAACUUGGGUUCGAGCGGGACUUCAGCCCCAGUUGGUGUCCACAAGGGGUCAAACACUAAGACUGCCACAAUUCACACAGCAGGGGGCACCGUGGAGCAACUUACACACCUGCCCUCCUGGUUAUACAAGCAAAGCCGGUAGCUGUGUGGGGUAUCAGCUGAUGUACCUCUUCAUGUGUGACUGUUGGACUCCAUUCAGGUCACAUGACCAUGCAAAGUUCAAUAUAUUCACACAUUCAUUUGGUAAAUUACAUUUACCAAACCAAAUGUGCUUUAACACGAGGGGGAGUUAUCAGUGUUUGGACACUCCAUGUCCUGCCAGCUAUCACAGAGGAGGUCCAGGACUGUGCUACAAGCCAUGUUCUCAUGGGUGUGCUGCAGGAUCGUCUCUCCUCCUUCAGUAUAAACUCAUCACACUUCCUCUGGGAAUUCCAGCUUUACACAACGUCAUCUGACUGUCAGCAUUUUCGGAGUUUGGUGUUUUUCAGGAGAGAACAUUAUUCACCAUCCUCAAACAAAAUGGAGAGAUUACAGAACAGCUGUUUGGGAUUAAAGACGAGGCUUUAAGAGGAAUCAUCUUUACCACUCGCUCUUUAAAUCAGUCUGGUCUAGUGAAUCUGAAGGUCUAAGCAACCACACUCAACCAGCAAGGACAAAUCACUUACCAGAGUUUAUUUAUUAUCUACAUCUCAAUUUCUGCUUAUCCAUUCUGAUCCCUCAAUCUCCAGUUAUUCACACGUAUCCCUCCACCUCCACUCGUCCACACUGGUCCAUCAUUAGUUAGCGUUUAUGUUACCAAAACUGAUUUCAUUAAAAAAAAAAAAAAAAUUUUAUUGGUUGAAUAUUUUUCCGAUUCUUUGUUAUUAUAAGAUUGUUUGUCAGAAUUGCAUCAG
This is a long non-coding RNA of Clarias gariepinus (North African catfish), 1272 nucleotides long. RefSeq lists it as uncharacterized. The record is from RefSeq and is a predicted model, not a curated record. NCBI's taxonomy places the organism in Eukaryota, Metazoa, Chordata, Actinopteri, Siluriformes, Clariidae. The transcript has 5 exons.